Molecule: long non-coding RNA, 1089 nt
Organism: Fukomys damarensis (Damara mole-rat)
Lineage: Eukaryota; Metazoa; Chordata; Mammalia; Rodentia; Bathyergidae
Exons: 3
Source: RefSeq, a predicted model, not a curated record
UUAAUUUUGUUAGAUUUUCUAACCAUACCAAUAUAUGUAAAUUAUGAUAAUCUAUUUUGUUUGAAGUAGAUCAACUCUUUAACUUCUCUUUUUUAAAAAGAAAAUUCCCUCUGGGUAGGUGUCAUGGAAAAUUCAAACACUCAAUAGGAGAGAGACAAGGAGAGUGAGCACUGCACAUACCACACCCAGCUGCAGCAUGUAUCUGUGUUUUUCUCUGUGUGUUCCCCCUCUUUACUAGGAUUUCUUUCUUCAGGAUGUUAAGGCAGAUCCAUGGCAUUACUGUAAUUCAUCCUUAAGUACUUCAGAAUGUGUCUUAUAGGUAAGAAUGUUUUGAUAUAACUUACAUAUUAUUGUACCUAACAAAAUUAUCAAUGGCUCCACUCCUUAGUGUAACCUAACAUCCAGUUCACAUUCUCUUUUCCUCCAAGUGAUGCCAUCUGUCUGCUCUCUUUCCUAGAAUCUCCUUCCCUGCUCCUAUUUUGAUUCCUGGAUUCCCAUGUGGGUUGCACAUGGACUUUGGGAAACGUUGGUUGGAAAGAUGACAGCAGCAUCUGAGAUUGAGCAGCUACAGCUCUAAGAACUGAGAGGUGGAUACAAAACAAACAGCAAAGGAUAGAGUUUGCAUGUCCACCAUUUGAAUGGCGGCAGCAGCAGGAGGAGAGUAGAGGGGAAGGUCCCUGAUCAACUCAUGAAGUCAUCCAGAAAGGAGAAAACAUCACAAGCCUGGGCCUAUGUCCCAUUCCUGGCUGCUAUGGUGACAAACUGCCCCAUCUGAGAAGGAAGGUUUCUGGGAGGAUAUGGAGCAUUCACUGCAAAUACCCGAGUGUCCCGGGCAAACAAGGUAAACAACAGGUGGCUGAAGAUCUAUGCCUCCUAAACAAAUGGGAAGUUCUGAGUGGGAAACUUCGAUCAGUGGCGGGACCCCGUUCCCAGGACCACCUGUCACCACUGGCCCGGCCACUACAGGAUCUGUGCCUAUUGCUGUGCCUGUACCUGCUGGAAGCUGCCGACCCAUAUUUCUCCCUGUCAUGAAAGAAUUAAAGACACCAUCUUGGGUAGGAAGCAAUUGUGGAGGGUGGAAGUUUCUGG